AUACCCCACUAUGCCCAAGGCCUAAACACGACCCCGUCCGCCAGAAAAUUACGAGCGAAAGCCUAAAACUCAAAAGACUUGACGGUGUUCCAACCUACCUAGAGGAGCCUGUUCCAUAAUCGAUAACCCACGAUUCACCCAACCCCCUCUUGAAUUAACAGCCUAUAUACCGCCGUCGCCAGCCUACCUUCCAAAAGAAAUCAAGCAAGCCAAAUAGCCCACACUAAAAAGUCAGGUCAAGGUGUAGCCAAUGAGGCGGAGACAAUGGGCUACAUUCUCUACCAUAGAUAAAACAAACUACUAUAUGAAAAAUAUUAUGAAGGUGGAUUUAGAAGUAAGUUAAACAAGAACAUUUAACUUAAUUAAAGCUCUGGAACAUGUACACACCG
RNAcentral lists this ribosomal RNA (389 nucleotides) under Bachia monodactylus parkerii. RNAcentral's name for it is "partial 12S ribosomal RNA". It matches the Rfam family "Bacterial small subunit ribosomal RNA", at positions 782 to 1392 of the family's 1533-position model. RNAcentral also lists the same sequence under 9 other names. The record is from RNAcentral. Lineage: Eukaryota; Metazoa; Chordata; Lepidosauria; Squamata; Gymnophthalmidae.